RNAcentral lists this microRNA (22 nucleotides) under Homo sapiens (human). RNAcentral's name for it is "hsa-miR-548j-5p". Its record names the gene hsa-miR-548j-5p. Lineage: Eukaryota; Metazoa; Chordata; Mammalia; Primates; Hominidae. The record is from miRBase by way of RNAcentral.
AAAAGUAAUUGCGGUCUUUGGU